AAACUGCAGAUGGCUCAUUAUAUCAGUCAUAAUUUACAUGAAGAUUACUUUACUACAUGGAUACCCGUAGUAAUUCUAGAGCUAAUACAUGCGUAAAAUCCCGACUCUUUGCGGGGAGGGAUGUAUUUAUUAGAUAAAAAACCAAUGCGGGUUCUGCCCGGUUUUGUGGUGAUUCAUAAUAACUGUUCGAAUCGCAUGGCCUUGCGCCGGCGAUAGUUCAUUCAAAUUUCUGCCCUAUCAGCUUUCGACGGUAGUGUCGUGGACUACCGUGGCAUUGACGGGUGACGGAGAAUUAGGGUUCGAUUCCGGAGAGGGAGCCUGAGAAACGGCUACCACAUCCAAGGAAGGCAGCAGGCGCGCAAAUUACCCAAUCCUGACACAGGGAGGUAGUGACAAGAAAUAACAAUACCGGGCCUUUUCAGGUCUGGUAAUAGGAAUGAGUACAAUUUAAAUCCCUUAACGAGGAUCUACUGGAGGGCAAGUCUGGUGCCAGCAGCCGCGGUAAUUCCAGCUCCAGAAGCGUAUAUUUAAAUUGUUGCUGUUAAAAAGCUCGUAGUUGGAUUUCUGGUGUGGUGCGGCCGGUCCGUCGUCGAUAGACGAUCGAGUACUGGCGUUGCGCCUACCAUCCCUUCUGGAGAGGCCUGUCGGCGCUUCAUUGCGUCAGUCGGGAAUUUUAAAACCGAUCCAGAUCGUUUACUUUGAAAAAAUUAGAGUGUUUAAAGCAGGCGUUCAAGCCACUGAAUACAUUAGCAUGGAAUAAUAAGAUAGGACUUUGGCCCUAUUUUGUUGGUUUCUAGGACUGAAGUAAUGAUUGAUAGGGACAGUUGGGGGUGCUAGUAUUUAACGGCCAGAGGUGAAAUUCUUGGAUUCGUUAAAGACUAACUAAUGCGAAAGCAUUCACCAAGGAUGUCUUCUUUAAUCAAGAACGAAAGUUGGGGGAUCGAAGACGAUCAGAUACCGUCGUAGUCUCAACCAUAAACUAUACCGACUAGGGAUCAGUGGACGUUGUUUUAUUUAUCGACUCCAUUGGCACCUUAUGAGAAAUCAAAGUCUUUGGGUUCAGGGGGGAGUAUGGUCGCAAGGCUGAAACUUAAAGGAAUUGACGGAAGGGCACACCGGAAGUGGAGCCUGCGGCUUAAUUUGACUCAACACGGGAAAA
This 1159-nucleotide ribosomal RNA is filed under the name uncultured Cercozoa. RNAcentral's name for it is "bacterial SSU rRNA". It matches the Rfam family "Eukaryotic small subunit ribosomal RNA", at positions 84 to 1213 of the family's 1831-position model. Lineage: Eukaryota; Cercozoa. The record is from RNAcentral.